UUUAAAGAUACUUACAAAACAUUGGAAGAAGAUUGGAAAGAGGAAGAGGGAGAGAGGAGAGGAUGAGAAUGACUGCUUAAUUCGGAGCUGUGAUCUCACACCCAAUGAGAUGAAAUCACCUGUGAAAGGAACAAUCCAACAGAACCAUUCAGUCAAUAGGACAUGUCUAUAAAAUUGCAACAAAAUGAA
Molecule: long non-coding RNA, 189 nt
Organism: Tachyglossus aculeatus (Australian echidna)
Lineage: Eukaryota; Metazoa; Chordata; Mammalia; Monotremata; Tachyglossidae
Exons: 2
Source: RefSeq, a predicted model, not a curated record